GAGAGGGAGCUUUGAAUACCUGUUAGUGGGGUUACCAAAAUUUUGACAGAAAGCAGAUUGAGUACGUGUUUGUGGGUUGGCAAAAUUUUGAGAGCAAGCAGAUCCAAUUUUGAUGUGUGUGAAAUGAAAUAGAUAGUCUUUUGAAAUGAAUGAUUUGGAGGUAACUGCUUGGUUUGUGUUGAUAAUAUAUAUGUUUUAUUUGAUUAGGUAGGUUCGUUGAACAGAGAAGUUUCAUUUUUAACUUCCUUGUAAGAGAGUAUGCAUUUGAUUUACGUAUUACAAAGGUAUAAUUUCAAAACUACACUCUACACCAUCAUUUAUAUAUUUCAUGUCUUUUUUCAGUUGACAUGUUUUCUUCUAAAAACUCGAAUAAAUAUUGGGUUUCAAAUAUCUAUUCAAUGUAGUUGAUGAUAAAAGGUUUUGAAGUCCAUGUUGGACAGAUAUUUCAAGUCUUCAAUCUUUAUAAGCCCAAUUGCCCAAUUUUGGUGAUUUGUGCUCCAUGAAUUUUUUAACUAGUAAAAGAUUUUUAUUUAAAAGGUUAAAUUUUCUUCAUCUUUACGUCAAAAGUGAUCUUAAAAUUAUUAUUGAAAAAUCAAAUAAAACCGUCAUAUAUUAGGACUUUUAAAUGUCGAGUUAUGUUUUUAUUAAUUUUUUAAUUGUAUUUAUUUUAAAAGUAUUAAGUUUUAUUAAAUAUUAAAAAAUAUUUUAAAUAUCUAUUUAUAAAAGUAACCAUUAAUGGAGGGUGGUUUUAAAAAUAAAAUAAAGUUAUAAUAGUUAAUUUAUAUAUUAUAUGAUAUAGAAAAGUAAAAUAGAAAAUAAUUUUAAGAUAUAAAAAUGAUGUGAUGGAGAAAAUAAUAUAUUAAAGUUAAAAAAAAGGUAAUUUGGUCACUCUUUUGUUAAAUAUAUUUUAUGAUAUUAAAUAAAAUGUUUUCUUAGAAAAAUAAAAGUGUAAAUUAAAAAGUAAUUUCAUCAUUUCGGAAGGAAAAAAAAGUCAUCUAUUAAACUUUAAAAAUUUUAUUAAAUUUAUAAAAUUUUACAUAUGAAUUUGCUAACCUUGUUUAUUUUUCUCAUUACAAUAAAAAUUUUGAUAUAUAAUUUUUUUUAUAUAAAAAAUAAAUAGAGGUUCAGUUAAUUAUAGUGUAAAUCGUCUAAACUGUUUAGUCAGGUAACAAGAUAUAAAGUAAAAUACAUUCAAGUUCUGUAUUUUAUACCUAACUCUCUCGCCUCUGUCCCUUGAUAAAAAAAUAAUUAGUGUUAAUCUCCUCCCACCACUCUAAUAGAUGAAAUUGGCUGCUGCCUUCACGAGACUGGAAGUAUUCUCCUUUUUUUAAUAUACUUCACCUUAUAUCAUCUGGGUUGUCGGGUUUGUUUCAAUUUUCUUAGGUGUGUUUGGAUAGAGAGUAAACAGGUUUAUAAAGUAAAUAAAUGGGUUUUUAGUUUUUUAGUAUAAAAAAAAAAUUUAAAAAUGAAUUGUAGAAUAAAAAAAUUUAUCAAAUAAGAAUUUGGACGCUCAGACUCCAACAUGGUAUAUUUUUUAAGCACACCACGAGGAGUGUUUACACGAACUAAAUUAUUUGUGAGCUAUUCGAGACUCAACUCGAUAAAAACUUGAUCGGACUCGACUCGUUUUCUAAAUUAACUGAGCUCGAGCUCACUUUUUAGAUUCGUUUAAUAAAUGAGCCGAGUUUGAGCUUAGCAGUAUUCGACUCGUUUAAACUCACAAGCUCUGACUCGUUUAGACUCAUGAGCUCGACUCGUUUUCAAACUCGUGAACAGGCUCGCAAACAAGCUCGUGAGUUCGGCAACACCAAUCCCACGUCGAAAGUUUUAUGAAAUAUAGAAGAUUGUGAUUUCUAUGUAAGAAACCACCUUUCUACAUGUUUUUUAGUUUUGAAUUUGAGAGAAUUUAACUAAAUUAAAAAAAAAUUAAUUUAAAAGUCUCUUAACGAUCUUAUAAUUAAAAUUUUAUUUUUAAUUUAAAUUUAUUUAUAAUUUAAAUGAAUUUAAAUUAUAUUGAGCUUAUUUAUAAUAUAAUCAAGCUUAAAUUCGAGUUUAAAUGAGCUCAAAUUUGAAUUUUUUGAAUAAAGUUUGAAUUGGCUCGUUAAUGUGAUAAACAAACUUAUUACGAAUCGAGUUCGAACCGAACUCGAAUUUAAUAUUUUUUUAUGAAUCGAGCUCGAUCUUAUAAAUGAAACUCGAGUCGAGCUCGAACUUUUAAAUUUAUUUUCUAAUCGAGUCUGAAUUUAUUAAAAUUCGGCACGUUUCUUUUAAAAAAAAUUACUUUUUACGCUUUAAAAACACAACUUAUUUUAUUGAUAAUAAUAUUUGAUUCUUUUUUUUUUCAGAAGAUAUUUUUAAUUUAAGUAGAAUUCUCUUCAUCCUCAAUUUAUUUUUUCAAUUUAUCAAUUUUAUCAUAUGUUUAGCAUAGUAGUAAAAUAUCAAUUCUCUCAUAACUCUCCAAUAUCACUUUUAAAUUCAUUAAAUAUUUAUAAUCAAUUAAAAGUAAUCAAAAUAAUAACAAUAGAUAAUAUUUCAUUUUUUUUAUAAAUAACUUAAUUAUAUUUAUUAAUUAUUAUUAAAAAUUAUUUAAUUUUAAUUUAAUUAUAUAACUAAAUUAAAUUACAUAAAAUUUUUGUACGUAAUAUUUAUCUCUUAAUUCUUUUAUUCUGUUCUGCAACAUUCUUUUUGUGGGAGGGAAAAAUUAUUUUGUAAAUACCUUCAAAGUUCAUAAUAUAAAUUUUAAUAUAUAUAAAAAUAAAUAAUUACUAAAUAAAAAUAAUUAUUUACUUUGAAUUUUGCUUAAAUACUACUUAAAAUUUAAAAAUAAUUAAAUGCAACAGUUUCUAUCAAAACAUUAAUUUUUUUAUUUUAAUAUUAUAAUGAGAAUAAAUUUUUUUUUGCAAAUAAUAGUUUUACUAUAUAAAGUGUUCACAUUCUAUUUUUAGUUCGUACACUUUUUUUUUUUAUAUUUUUUUAAUUUUCUUUGCAAAUUUGUCUAUUAAUAUUUUUGGUACGUAUACCGUCUAUUAAUAUUUUGAUAAACAAAUAUCAAAAUAAAUAAAAAAUAAAAAAUAUAAAAAUUUAUAUAUAUUAACAUAAAAAUUAACUAUUUUUAGAUAAAUAAAUAAAUUUUAAAAAAAAUUAAGAAUAUAAUGAGAGGAGAAAUGAGAGAGAGUAAAAAAAUCAAAUAUAAUUUAGCUAGAAAAACAUACUUUAGCAAAUUUAAUAUAAAAUUUAUAAGAUUGAGAGGAAAUAGAUGGUUACGAUUACAUUAUUAAUUUUAAUUAUUUAUAAUUAUUUUUAUUUUAUAUAAACAUAUUAAUCAUAUUAACAAAUAACAAUAACGCAUAUAUAUUAAUCACCAUUACUAAUUUGAUCAGUAAUUAUUUGAUCAUAUCAAAUAAUCAUUGACUAUACAGAAAACAAUACCAUCAUUUAUUAAUCAUAUUAACAAACAGUAGUAACGCAUAUGUGUUAAUCACCAUUAAUAUCUUUCUGAAACCCUUAAUUGAAAACCUGUUAAUCAUAUUAACACUUAUAAUCAAAAUAAUAUUUUGUUAAUCAAAUUAACAGAAAAAUGUAUGUGUACUGUAUGAAAACGAUGUUCACAUAAAAUCUACAGAUAUCAUCGAUUCAUAUCAUAUAUAAAUAUAUCAUUUUUAACAUCAAAAUGAAUUGAACAAUUCAAUUAUCAUGUCAUUCUAAUAAAAAUAUAUAAUAUAUAGCACAUUAAUCAUGGCAUAUUCGACUUAAAUGAAAAGUACAAAUUACCUCUGAUACCACACUACAACACACUAUAGCAAUAGAGACAUCAAAUGAAGCAUCCACCUUGAUUUUAAUCAUAUAUAUAUUAAGAGACAACCACAUAGUCCCAUAAAACUCAAGAUAUGAGAGGCACUAAAAAAAAUGGUGUUUACAAGAUAACCAAACUAGAAACUCCUCAAUAACAUUUCGAGUAUCAAUGUUCGAGUAUCGAGUUUUUACGGAUAUUUAAUCUGAUUGAAUCCUAAUAAGAGAAAUUUAAUUAAUAUAUAAUCAGAUUUACUCAUUAGUUAAGCUACCCAACCUUGAUUUCUUCUUCGGUUAACAUACCCAACCUUAAUUUCUUCUUAGUUACAAGCUUGCAUAAUUCCUCAUUCAUUAAUUCUAUCAUCAACAACCAAAAAAAUAACAUUCAACACUUCAUUGGAAACAUGAAGAUGAUCAGCUUUUGAAAAAGAUUAUUGAUAAAAGGUUUAUUAAAUAAAAAAAGAAAAAAUUACUUUUUAGUCCUUCAUAUUUAACGUAAUUAAUAUUUUUGUUCCUCUAUUUUGACGAUCCAACACUUAAGUCCUUCAAUUUCUCUUUUAUCCGAAUUCAUAGUCCUUUCGUCCAAAAUAGCCGUUUGGGACAUGUUAAUUGACAAAAUUGACCUUCACCAAAAGUCUCUCUAUUUCAAAAUCACGAAACCCCAUCUCUCUUUCCUCUCCCUCUUUCUUCUCCCUCUCUCUCUCUCUCUCUCUAUCUUUGUCUAAACUUCUCUCUCGUUUUCCCUUUCUCUCGCUCUCUCUCUAUCUCUCUCUGUGUCGAAACUAAACCCCUCUAUCUCUAUCGAAACUUGUCCCUCUCUCUCGUGCUCUCUCUGUCUCUGUCAAAGCCUUGUCUCUCUCUCUUGCGUUCUCUCUGUCUCUCUCUCUCUCGAAACUUCUCUCUCUGUGGUCCCAUUGUACCUCAUUUUCUUAAUCUUCUCGAAAAACACUAAACCCACCAUAUUCCGAAGGUGGAGUCAGUGUUCAUAUACGCAAAAGAAAUCGAAGGUACGAAAAUCUCUUUUGUUUUACAGUGAAGACAAAUUUAUUGCUUUAUUGUUUAGAUUUUUUGAGUUACAAUAAAUAAUUUUUUAUUUAUUGAUUUUUCUAGGGUUUACUGUUAAGAUUAGGGGUUUAAUGAUUUGGGAAUUAAUUUUGUAAUUUCCUUUUUAUUUUUGCAGAUAGCAAUGGAUAAAUUUGAGAAGUGUGCAGGUUGUGAGUUUUUUAUUAGAUAUAUUAGAUGUGCAACAUAUAUUUUUGAACAGAUUUUGUGAGUUUUAAUUUAAUCCAAAUUGGAUGAAAUUGUGAUUUUUUUGGACAUAAUUAGUGUGCAGCUUUUGAUUUUUGUUUUUUUUUUUUUUACAGAUUUCAUUUGCAGGUUUUGAACAUGUAUUGGUUUUCUUGAGAUCUUUUGAUAUGCAACUAUUUUGGAUAUAUAUUGGUCAUUUCAGAUAUGCACAUAUUGUAAAGCUAUUUUGGACAAUUUUAGAGAAUUUAGAUAGGUUUUUUGUAUAUAUUUUGUGAUGUAAUAGAAAAAA
Molecule: long non-coding RNA, 5326 nt
Filed under: Manihot esculenta (cassava)
Lineage: Eukaryota; Viridiplantae; Streptophyta; Magnoliopsida; Malpighiales; Euphorbiaceae
Description: long non-coding RNA (MESC_LNC008557)
Source: RNAcentral